RNAcentral lists this ribosomal RNA (147 nucleotides) under uncultured bacterium. Its description in RNAcentral is "partial 16S ribosomal RNA". It matches the Rfam family "Bacterial small subunit ribosomal RNA", at positions 338 to 477 of the family's 1533-position model. The record is from RNAcentral.
CCUACGGGAGGCAGCAGUGGGGAAUAUUGCACAAUGGGGGAAACCCUGAUGCAGCCAUGCCGCGUGUGUGAAGAAGGCCUUCGGGUUGUAAAGCACUUUCAGUGGUGAGGAAGGGUUGUAAGUUAAUACCUUGCAACAUUGACGUUA